Long non-coding RNA from Hermetia illucens (black soldier fly), 674 nucleotides. RefSeq lists it as uncharacterized. NCBI's taxonomy places the organism in Eukaryota, Metazoa, Arthropoda, Insecta, Diptera, Stratiomyidae. The transcript has 3 exons. The record is from RefSeq and is a predicted model, not a curated record.
AUCGUUCUAUUUAAAAAUUUAAUAAAAAAUUGGCGAGAUUUCGUUACACUCAACGUGCGCAAUAACGCUGGAACAACAUUGGCGUCGUGCAGGAUAGAUAAAACAAACGGCCGUUAUCAAGAUAAAGUAGAUCUUGAAAACGGGAUUGUGAAGUAAGCAUUCGAAUAUUGUACCGAUUUCCAACCUGAACAGACAGAUAUGGGCGAACUACAUAGAGAAUUGACGAAUGUCUCAAUGGUUCACAUUAAGUUAAGAAAAAGCUGGCCACAUACAAACGAUUGAUUACGACAGAAAGUUUAGAGCUACACCAAAAUGGAAUCCCUCGAAUGAGAAAGUUUGGGUAAUUCCCGCAAACCUUCACAAAAGUAGCAAAAAUAAGAACAAAUUAGACAAGAGACACAACUAAUAGCAGGAAACGGAAUCGAGGCACCAAAAGGAGAAAUACCACUUUCCAUAAGACUAGCUAGAUGCCUUUCCCUUCAAGAGCCAAAGUAGCAUUAACAUUUUUUCAUCAAACACGGUUUAAAGUGUUUUACUUUAUGUACUUGGAGCAAAAGGCUUGUCAAGUACUUAACAUAUGAUCUAGCUUCAAUUCUACAUAUUUUAAAUGCAACUCAUCUCAAAUUUGGAUAAGUUGUUUAAGCUCAAGAGAAAUCACUCCAAAUUAUUUUAAA